Molecule: small nuclear RNA, 105 nt
Organism: Hyaena hyaena (striped hyena)
Lineage: Eukaryota; Metazoa; Chordata; Mammalia; Carnivora; Hyaenidae
Source: RefSeq, a predicted model, not a curated record
UCAUUUAUCAUAUUUAACUUUGAAAAGAAUGAUCCUAUACACAGAAGAUUAGCAUGGCCCCUGCACCAGUAUGACACACAAAUUCCUAAGGUGUUCCAUAUUUAA